GACGAACGCUGGCGGCGUGCCUAAUACAUGCAAGUCGAGCGCGUGAAGCGCCUUCGGGUGUGGAGUGCGCGGCGAACGGGUGAGUAACACGUGGGCAACCUGCCCGCAAGACUGGGAUAAUUCCGGGAAACCGGAGCUAAUACCAGAUACGUCUUCCCUUCGCAUGAAGGGAAGGGAAAGGUCGCUCCGGCGGCCACUUGCGGAUGGGCCCGCGGCGCAUUAGCUAGUUGGUAGGGUAACGGCCUACCAAGGCGACGAUGCGUAGCCGACCUGAGAGGGUGACCGGCCACACUGGGACUGAGACACGGCCCAGACUCCUACGGGAGGCAGCAGUAGGGAAUUUUCCGCAAUGGACGAAAGUCUGACGGAGCAACGCCGCGUGAGUGAGGACGGUCUUCGGAUUGUAAAACUCUGUUCUCUCGGAAGAGCAUCUUAGAGCUGAAUAGGUUCUAAGAUCCGACGGUACGAGAGGAGAAAGCCCCGGCUAACUAC
This 492-nucleotide ribosomal RNA is filed under the name uncultured Bacillota bacterium. Its description in RNAcentral is "bacterial SSU rRNA". It matches the Rfam family "Bacterial small subunit ribosomal RNA", at positions 28 to 504 of the family's 1533-position model. The record is from RNAcentral. Lineage: Bacteria; Bacillati; Bacillota.